AUUGAACGCUGGCGGUAGGCCUAACACAUGCAAGUCGAACGGCAGCACAGUAAGAGCUUGCUAUUACGGGUGGCGGGUGGCGGACGGGUGAGGAAUACGUCGGAAUCUACUUUUUCGUGGGGGAUAACGUAGGGAAACUUACGCUAAUACCGCAUAAGACCUACGGGUGAAAGCAGGGGAUCUUCGGACCUUGCGCGAUUGAAGGAGCCGAUGUCGGAUUAGCUAGUUGGCGGGGUAAAGGCCCACCAAGGCGACGAUCCGUAGCUGGUCUGAGAGGAUGAUCAGCCACACUGGAACUGAGACACGGUCCAGACUCCUACGGGAGGCAGCAGUGGGGAAUAUUGGACAAUGGGCGCAAGCCUGAUCCAGCCAUACCGCGUGGGUGAAGAAGGCCUUCGGGUUGUAAAGCCCUUUUGUUGGGAAAGAAAAGCAGUAGGUUAAUACCCCGCUGUUAUGACGGUACCCAAAGAAUAAGCACCGGCUAACUUCGUG
This 492-nucleotide ribosomal RNA is filed under the name uncultured bacterium. Its description in RNAcentral is "partial 16S ribosomal RNA". It matches the Rfam family "Bacterial small subunit ribosomal RNA", at positions 30 to 507 of the family's 1533-position model. The record is from RNAcentral.